This 379-nucleotide ribosomal RNA is filed under the name uncultured bacterium. RNAcentral's name for it is "bacterial SSU rRNA". It matches the Rfam family "Bacterial small subunit ribosomal RNA", at positions 331 to 724 of the family's 1533-position model. The record is from RNAcentral.
CCAGACUCCUACGGGAGGCAGCAGUGGGGAAUAUUGGGCAAUGGAGGCAACUCUGACCCAGCAACGCCGCGUGAAUGAUGAAGGUCUUCGGGUUGUAAAGUUCUUUUCUAAGGGAAGAAGAAAGUGACGGUACCUUAGGAAUAAGCCUCGGCUAACUACGUGCCAGCAGCCGCGGUAAUACGUAGGAGGCAAGCGUUAUCCGGAAUUAUUGGGUGUAAAGGGUGCGUAGACGGGAAAUUAAGUUAGUUGUGAAAUCCCUUGGCUUAACUGAGGAACUGCAUCUAAAACUGAUUUUCUGGAGUACUGGAGGGGAAAGGGGAAUUCCUAGGGUAGCGGUGAAAUGCGUAGAUAUUAGGAGGAACACCAGUGGCGAAGGCGA